AGAGUUUGAUCCUGGCUCAGAAUGAACGCUGGCGGCAUGGAUUAGGCAUGCAGGUCGAACGUGAGACCCGAGCUUGCUUGGGUUGAAAGUGGCGCAAGGGUGAGUAACACGUGAGCAACCUGCCCCUGACUUCGGGAUAGCCCCGGGAAACUGGGAUUAAUACCGAAUGUGGUUGCGGGAUCUUAUGGUCCUGUUAUCAAAGAUUGAUUUCGGUCGGGGAUGGGCUCGCGUCCCAUUAGCUUGUUGGUGAGGUAACGGCUCACCAAGGCUGAGACGGGUAGGUGGUCUGAGAGGAUGGUCACCCACACUGGGACUGAGACACUGCCCAGACUCCUACGGGAGGCUGCAGUCGAAAUCUUCCGCAAUGGGCGCAAGCCUGACGGAGCAAUGCCGCGUGAGGGAUGAAGGCCUUCGGGUUGUAAACCUCUGUCACCCGGGACGAAUCAAUGACGGUACCGGGAGAGGAAGCCACGGCUAACUACGUGCCAGCAGCCGCGUAAUACGUAGGUGGCGAGCGUUAUUCGGAUUUACUGGGCUAAAGGGUCCGUAGGGGGUUUGCCAAGUCUGGUGUGAAAUCCCGUGGCUCAACCACGGACGUGCACUGGAAACUGGCGGACUAGAGUGCGUGAUGGGAAAGCGGAAUUCCUGGUGUGGCGGUGGAAUGCGUAGAUAUCAGGAAGAACACCGGCGGCGAAGGCGGCUUUCUGGCACGCAACUGACCCUGAUGGACGAAAGCGUGGGUAGCAAACAGGAUUAGAUACCCUGGUAGUCCACGCUGUAAACGUUGUGCACUAGAUGUGGGAAGUACUUUGGUCCUUUCCGUGUCCAAGCUAACGCGUUAAGUGCACCGCCUGGGGACUACGGCCGCAAGGCUAAAACUCAAAGGAAUUGACGGGGGCCCGCACAAGCGGUGGAGCAUGUGGCUUAAUUCGAGGCAACGCGAAGAACCUUACCUGGGUUUGACAUGUAUCGGACCGUCCUGGAAACAGGAUUUUCUCUUCGGAGACUGAUACACAGGUGCUGCAUGGCUGUCGUCAGCUCGUGCCGUGAGGUGUUCGGUUAAGUCCGGCAACGAGCGCAACCCGUGUCGUCAGUUGCCAGCAGGUUAUGCUGGGGACUCUGGCGAGACUGCCCGUGUCAAGCGGGAGGAAGGCGCGGAUGACGUCAAGUCCGUAUGGCCCUUACGUCCAGGGCUGCACACGUGCUACAAUGGGCGGUACAGAGAGAGCGAGACCGUGAGGUGGAGCCAAUCUUCAAAACCGUCCCCAGUUCGGAUUGGAGUCUGCAACUCGACUCCAUGAAGCCGGAAUCGCUAGUAAAGGCGUAUCAGCAACGACGCCUUGAAUACGUUCCCGGGCCUUGUACACACCGCCCGUCACAUCAUGGAAGCCGGCUGCACCCGAAGUCACUGGCCCAACCCGCAAGGGGGGGAGGUGCCGAAGGUGUGUCCGGUAACUGGGAUGAAGUCGUAACAAGGUA
Molecule: ribosomal RNA, 1479 nt
Filed under: metagenome
Description: bacterial SSU rRNA
Rfam family: Bacterial small subunit ribosomal RNA
Source: RNAcentral